Molecule: long non-coding RNA, 236 nt
Organism: Mercurialis annua (annual mercury)
Lineage: Eukaryota; Viridiplantae; Streptophyta; Magnoliopsida; Malpighiales; Euphorbiaceae
Exons: 3
Source: RefSeq, a predicted model, not a curated record
UGAAUAGAAGAUCAAGUUCUGGUGUUUUGAAUAAAAAAACUUCUUCUGAAAUUGUUGAUACUAAAGAAGAAAAAGCUGAUGAGUGCAAUAAGCCUGUGAAGAAUAAGUCUCCUUCUUCUGCUGUUAAGAAAAAAGCUUCUCUUCAGUCACCUAAAUCUGAAGUAGUUAUUGGUGAUCCCAGUUAGAUGUGGUCUCCCCGAUGGAAUCAUACUGAAUAUUCUUCUACAAGGGUUGAU